GCUACAGUAUAUAGAACAUUUACCAAAAAAUAAAUAUUUUCGUAAGGGUUAACCCAUAGAUUUUGAGAAAAAAAUUCAAAAAUAUGAAAAUUUUGUUUUAAUGCAUAGUUUCAUCCUUCAGUAACAUAUGAUGAAGGUCGAAGAGGUUUGGAUUUUUUUGGUGUCUCCGUUUCUCUAGAAAAUAGCGAUUUUAUUGUGGUUAGUCUACCAAUUUAUGGAGUAUUAUUAAGUUUUACUAAAUUAAUUUAAAAAAAAUAAAACGAUGUCAAUGUACCAUGAAAGAGAGUUUAAUAUAUAUUAAUACAAAUGUAGAAUGUGUUUAGAAAUUUUAAAACAACACUAAAGAUCAUAGGCUUAUAUAGAACAUUUACC
Brassica rapa (field mustard) is the source of this 372-nucleotide long non-coding RNA. RefSeq lists it as uncharacterized. The record is from RefSeq and is a predicted model, not a curated record. NCBI's taxonomy places the organism in Eukaryota, Viridiplantae, Streptophyta, Magnoliopsida, Brassicales, Brassicaceae.